AAAGAUUCCUUCUAACUUGUAUAAGAAGGCCUCCCGACUUGCUCAAGAAGCAGAGAAGAGUGAGAGAGAAGAAUAGUAAGUUGUGUAUUUUCUUUAAAGCUUUUCUUUGAGUGUACUGUUUUCGUUUGAAUGUUCUAAGAGUGUACUAUUUUCAAAUCAAUAAAAUAUAUUGUAUUUUCAUCAUCCCAAUCUUCUUUUCCAAAGUUAGAA
RNAcentral lists this unclassified non-coding RNA (210 nucleotides) under Hevea brasiliensis (rubber tree). Lineage: Eukaryota; Viridiplantae; Streptophyta; Magnoliopsida; Malpighiales; Euphorbiaceae. The record is from RNAcentral.